AUGAACGCUAGCUACAGGGCUUAACACAUGCAAGUCGAGGGGCAGCAGGGCGAUAGCUUGCUAUUGCCGCUGGCGACCGGCGCACGGGUGAGUAACGCGUAUCCAACCUACCCUGCAGUCAGGGAUAGCCCGGCGAAAGUCGGGAUUAAUACCUGAUGCAGUCAGAAGAGGGCAUCUGAUUUUGACGAAAGAUUUAUCGCUGCGGGAUGGGGAUGCGUAGGAUUAGGCAGGCGGCGGGCAACGGCCCACCGCGCCGACGAUCCUUAGGGGUUCUGAGAGGAAGGUCCCCCACACUGGUACUGAGACACGGACCAGACUCCUACGGGAGGCAGCAGUGAGGAAUAUUGGUCAAUGGGCGUGAGCCUGAACCAGCCAAGUAGCGUGCAGGAUGACGGCCCUACGGGUUGUAAACUGCUUUUAUGCGGGGAUAAAGUGCGCGACGUGUCGCGUUUUGUAGGUACCGCAUGAAUAAGGACCGGCUAAUUCCGUGCC
This 492-nucleotide ribosomal RNA is filed under the name uncultured bacterium. Its description in RNAcentral is "bacterial SSU rRNA". It matches the Rfam family "Bacterial small subunit ribosomal RNA", at positions 29 to 509 of the family's 1533-position model. The record is from RNAcentral.